CACAACUCCGGCCAAGACAAU
RNAcentral lists this non-coding RNA (21 nucleotides) under Arabidopsis thaliana (thale cress). Lineage: Eukaryota; Viridiplantae; Streptophyta; Magnoliopsida; Brassicales; Brassicaceae. The record is from RNAcentral.